UACGAAGGGGGGCUAGCGUUGCUCGGAAUCACUGGGCGUAAAGGGCGCGUAGGCGGCCAUUCAAGUCAGAGGUGAAAGCCCAGGGCUUAACCCUGGAAUUGCCUUUGAUACUGUUUGGCUUGAGACCGGAAGAGGUAAGUGGAACUGCGAGUGUAGAGGUGAAAUUCGUAGAUAUUCGGAAGAACACCAGUGGCGAAGGCGACACACUGGGCCAUUACUGACGCUGAGGCGCGAAAGCGUGGGGAGCAAACAGG
RNAcentral lists this ribosomal RNA (254 nucleotides) under uncultured bacterium. RNAcentral's name for it is "partial 16S ribosomal RNA". It matches the Rfam family "Bacterial small subunit ribosomal RNA", at positions 524 to 776 of the family's 1533-position model. The record is from RNAcentral.